UUUAAAUUGAGAGUUUGAUCCUGGCUCAGGAUGAACGCUGGCGGCGUGCUUAACACAUGCAAGUCGAGCGAUGAAGUUUCCUUCGGGGAACGGAUUAGCGGCGGACGGGUGAGUAACA
RNAcentral lists this ribosomal RNA (118 nucleotides) under Clostridium perfringens. RNAcentral's name for it is "partial 16S ribosomal RNA". It matches the Rfam family "Bacterial small subunit ribosomal RNA", at positions 1 to 115 of the family's 1533-position model. Lineage: Bacteria; Bacillati; Bacillota; Clostridia; Eubacteriales; Clostridiaceae. The record is from RNAcentral.